UACGUAGGGGGCAAGCGUUGUCCGGAUUUAUUGGGCGUAAAGAGCGUGUAGGCGGCCAAGCAGGUCAGCUGUGAAAACUCGAGGCUCAACCUCGAGACGUCGGUUGAAACCGUUUGGCUAGAGUCCGGAAGAGGAGAGUGGAAUUCCCGGUGUAGCGGUGAGAUGCGCAGAUAUCGGGAAGAACACCCGUGGCGAAGGCGGCUCUCUGGGACGGUACUGACGCUGAGACGCGAAAGCGUGGGGAGCGAACAGG
RNAcentral lists this ribosomal RNA (253 nucleotides) under uncultured bacterium. RNAcentral's name for it is "partial 16S ribosomal RNA". It matches the Rfam family "Bacterial small subunit ribosomal RNA", at positions 524 to 776 of the family's 1533-position model. The record is from RNAcentral.